GAAGAAUUUUUCCAGGAUAGGUCCAUCACAAAUAAACCAAUCAUUGGCUCCACCUAUUCCUACUUAUAGUGCCCCUAUCCCUCAGCAAACUACAUCAUUGGAAGCCAUGAUGGCUAACAUGAUGAAGCAGCAACAAGACUUCAUCCAACAACAACAACAGACCAACAUGGCUCAAACCCAGACUAACCAAUUCCAUGCGCAAGCGAUUGCAAAACUUGAGAUUAGUCUGAGCCAAAUAGCCAACUCUCUAGGGGAUAGGAAGAAAGGUGAAUUGCCCA
Molecule: long non-coding RNA, 278 nt
Filed under: Phoenix dactylifera (date palm)
Lineage: Eukaryota; Viridiplantae; Streptophyta; Magnoliopsida; Arecales; Arecaceae
Description: long non-coding RNA (PDAC_LNC014937)
Source: RNAcentral